CUCUCUAAACUGAAUAGUUUUUAUAAGCAAAGAAGUAAGAAGGGAUGGGCUACUGAUGGUGAUCGUAAUACGAAUUUUUUUCAUCAAGCUGUGCUUAAGAGAAGGAAAAGGAAUACUAUCUGCUCGGUUAAGGAUGAAAAUAAUAUUGUGCAUUUUAAGCCUAGUCUCAUUGCUAAUACCUUUGUUAAUUAUUUCAGCAACUGUGGUAGACCUUUUCUUGCUUCUCAAUUACCGGAGGGCUCUUUGGACCCUACUUAUUUAAUUCCGGAUAAAAAUGAGGUCUUGCAGAUUUUGAAGGACAUGAAGUUGAAUGCUUCUCCAGGGCCAGAUGGUUUUAAUGUCGAGUUUUAUUUGGCUACUUGGAAUUGGAUAGGAGACGAUGUCACUCAAUUGGUAGUCAAUUUUUAUAGAACAGGUAUAUUGCCCUCUCACGUGAGUGAUACAAACAUUGCUCUCAUUCCAAAAAAACUUGUUCCUCGGGUUCCUAUGGAUUAUCGUCCCAUUAGUCUUUGCAAUGUUAUUUAUAAAAUCAUUGCCAAAUCUUUGGCUAAUCGUCUUAAGCCUCAUCUUCCAGUUAUAUUGACCCUUCUCAACAAGCUUUCAUUGAAGGUAGAAGAAUUAGUGACAAUAUCAUUAUUGCUCAAGAGAUUUCUCACUCUUUUGCUCUUUGUUCUUGGAAUCACCUUGCUUUCGUGCUUAAAAUUGAUCUUGCUAAGGCUUUCGAUCGUUUAG
Molecule: ribosomal RNA, 732 nt
Filed under: Triticum aestivum (bread wheat)
Lineage: Eukaryota; Viridiplantae; Streptophyta; Magnoliopsida; Poales; Poaceae
Description: partial small subunit ribosomal RNA
Source: RNAcentral